UAAAACCUGUGGAACACUAAACCACAUCUUCUGAAUGCAAAUCAGACACUUUAAU
This 55-nucleotide transfer RNA is filed under the name Crotaphytus collaris. RNAcentral describes it as "partial tRNA-Ala". Lineage: Eukaryota; Metazoa; Chordata; Lepidosauria; Squamata; Crotaphytidae. The record is from RNAcentral.